Sceloporus undulatus (fence lizard) is the source of this 389-nucleotide long non-coding RNA. RefSeq lists it as uncharacterized. Lineage: Eukaryota; Metazoa; Chordata; Lepidosauria; Squamata; Phrynosomatidae. The record is from RefSeq and is a predicted model, not a curated record. The transcript is spliced from 3 exons.
GAAAAAGAUCAGAGAAGGGAGGAAUUCCUUUCUCUGGAAUAGCAGACCCUGGGCUUCAUGCUGGAGGGGUCAUCCUUAGUCUCUUGCCCUCUUUCUGCCCCCCCCCCCGCAAAAGGGGGACGGCGAUGCUGAUGCCCACCCCAGGAAUGCCCACUUUGACCCCGAUGGACCUGACUGUCAGAUCUAUGGGGAGACUGCUCCCCCCUCCCCCCAAGGCUCAGUUUGCCCCGGAAUUCACCAUCGGGAGCCGGGCCGCAUUCAUUCAGCUAGCGGAUGGUGUAGGACGCUCACUCGCCAGGCUGUAUCCCGAGGAGUUGCUCUCCUCGCUCCGCAGGAUGGCAAGGUCUUAGUUCCUGCAAGCCGGGCCCAGCAUAAUCGGCUAGACUAGG